CCUACGGGUGGCUGCAGUGGGGAAUAUUGGACAAUGGGGGCAACCCUGAUCCAGCCAUGCCGCGUGUGUGAAGAAGGCCCUCGGGUUGUAAAGCACUUUCAGUGAGGAAGAACGCCUGGUGGUUAAUACCCAUCAGGAAAGACAUCACUCACAGAAGAAGCACCGGCUAACUCCGUGCCAGCAGCCGCGGUAAUACGGAGGGUGCGAGCGUUAAUCGGAAUUACUGGGCGUAAAGCGCGCGUAGGUGGCUUGAUAAGCCGGUUGUGAAAGCCCCGGGCUCAACCUGGGAACGGCAUCCGGAACUGUCAAGCUAGAGUGCAGGAGAGGAAGGUAGAAUUCCCGGUGUAGCGGUGAAAUGCGUAGAGAUCGGGAGGAAUACCAGUGGCGAAGGCGGCCUUCUGGACUGUCACUGACACUGAGGUGCGAAAGCGUGGGUAGCAAACAGGAUUAGAUACCCCUGUAGUC
RNAcentral lists this ribosomal RNA (465 nucleotides) under Vreelandella stevensii. RNAcentral's name for it is "partial 16S ribosomal RNA". It matches the Rfam family "Bacterial small subunit ribosomal RNA", at positions 338 to 795 of the family's 1533-position model. The record is from RNAcentral. Lineage: Bacteria; Pseudomonadati; Pseudomonadota; Gammaproteobacteria; Oceanospirillales; Halomonadaceae.